AGCUUUGUGUCUCAAUCCUGUUUAAUGCCCAUCCCUGGCCUGCUGGGACCACAAACCCUAUCUGAACAUUCACAGAUUGAUUCAGCAGAGACCUGGGGGACAGGAGUCACGCUGGCAAUCAAAUGCUCAGAAGGGAUGUCACUGUUGCUGACAAAUCAUUAACAGAACCAGCCACAUGGCCCCACCAACCAAGGAGACCAGGUGGUCCUGCCGGGAAGAGAGAGAACGGAGGAUUGGGGCAAACAUCCUGCUGUCCCCAGGAGGCUGUGUGUUACAGAUUCACCACAACUGAGGUUCUGAAGCAACAUGUGCAGAUACAAUGAAAAAACUGCAUUCUUACUGUGGAAAAUAUGAGAAAUAUAGAAUAUAUAGAAGAAAACAAAUAACUCCAAAAAUACUC
Molecule: long non-coding RNA, 400 nt
Filed under: Fukomys damarensis (Damara mole-rat)
Lineage: Eukaryota; Metazoa; Chordata; Mammalia; Rodentia; Bathyergidae
Description: lncRNA (ENSFDAG00000029358.1)
Source: RNAcentral